This 463-nucleotide ribosomal RNA is filed under the name uncultured bacterium. RNAcentral describes it as "partial 16S ribosomal RNA". It matches the Rfam family "Bacterial small subunit ribosomal RNA", at positions 28 to 507 of the family's 1533-position model. The record is from RNAcentral.
GACGAACGCUGGCGGCGUGCUUAACACAUGCAAGUCGAACGGAGAGGCCUUUUCGGAGGUACUCGAGUGGCGAACGGGUGAGUAACACGUGGGUGAUCUGCCCUGCACUCUGGGAUAAGCCUGGGAAACUGGGUCUAAUACCGGAUAGGACCGCACUUUAGUGUGUGUGGUGGAAAGUUUUUUCGGUGUAGGAUGAGCCCGCGGCCUAUCAGCUUGUUGGUGGGGUAAUGGCCUACCAAGGCGGCGACGGGUAGCCGGACUGAGAGGUUGGUCGGCCACAUUGGGACUGAGAUACGGCCCAGACUCCUACGGGAGGCAGCAGUGGGGAAUAUUGCACAAUGGGCGCAAGCCUGAUGCAGCGACGCCGCGUGGGGGAUGACGGCCUUCGGGUUGUAAACUCCUUUCGCCAGGGACGAAGCGUUUUGUGACGGUACCUGGAGAAGAAGCACCGGCUAACUACGUG